AUUGAACGCUGGCGGCAGGCCUAACGCAUGCAAGUCGGGCGGAUGAAGGGAGCUUGCUCCUGGAUUCAGCGGCGGACGGGUGAGUAAUGCCUAGGAAUCUGCCUGGUAGUGGGGGAUAACGUCCGGAAACGGGCGCUAAUACCGCAUACGUCCUGAGGGAGAAAGUGGGGGAUCUUCGGACCUCACGCUAUCAGAUGAGCCUAGGUCGGAUUAGCUAGUUGGUGGGGUAAAGGCCUACCAAGGCGACGAUCCGUAACUGGUCUGAGAGGAUGAUCAGUCACACUGGAACUGAGACACGGUCCAGACUCCUACGGGAGGCAGCAGUGGGGAAUAUUGGACCAUGGGCGAAAGCCUGAUCCAGCCAUGCCGCGUGUGUGAAGAAGGUCUUCGGAUUGUAAAGCACUUUAAGUUGGGAGGAAGGGCAGUAAGUUAAUACCUUGCUGUUUUGACGUUACCAACAGAAUAAGCACCGGCUAACUUCGUG
RNAcentral lists this ribosomal RNA (484 nucleotides) under uncultured bacterium. RNAcentral describes it as "partial 16S ribosomal RNA". It matches the Rfam family "Bacterial small subunit ribosomal RNA", at positions 30 to 507 of the family's 1533-position model. The record is from RNAcentral.